UCAGAAGUGCGAAUGCUGACAUAAGUAACGAUAAAGCGGGUGAAAAGCCCGCUCGCCGGAAGACCAAGGGUUCCUGUCCAACGUUAAUCGGGGCAGGGUGAGUCGACCCCUAAGGCGAGGCCGAAAGGCGUAGUCGAUGGGAAACAGGUUAAUAUUCCUGUACUUGGUGUUACUGCGAAGGGGGGACGGAGAAGGCUAUGUUGGCCGGGCGACGGUUGUCCCGGUUUAAGCGUGUAGGCUGGUUUUCCAGGCAAAUCCGGAAAAUCAAGGCUGAGGCGUGAUGACGAGGCACUACGGUGCUGAAGCAACAAAUGCCCUGCUUCCAGGAAAAGCCUCUAAGCAUCAGGUAACAUCAAAUCGUACCCCAAACCGACACAGGUGGUCAGGUAGAGAAUACCAAGGCGCUUGAGAGAACUCGGGUGAAGGAACUAGGCAAAAUGGUGCCGUAACUUCGGGAGAAGGCACGCUGAUAUGUAGGUGAAGUCCCUCGCGGAUGGAGCUGA
Molecule: ribosomal RNA, 503 nt
Filed under: Escherichia coli
Lineage: Bacteria; Pseudomonadati; Pseudomonadota; Gammaproteobacteria; Enterobacterales; Enterobacteriaceae
Description: partial 23S ribosomal RNA
Rfam family: Bacterial large subunit ribosomal RNA
Source: RNAcentral